This 543-nucleotide ribosomal RNA is filed under the name Penicillium citrinum. RNAcentral describes it as "partial 18S ribosomal RNA". The stretch from base 196 to 349 matches the Rfam family "5.8S ribosomal RNA". The record is from RNAcentral. Lineage: Eukaryota; Fungi; Ascomycota; Eurotiomycetes; Eurotiales; Aspergillaceae.
UGGAAGUAAAAAUCGUAACAAGGUUUCCGUAGGUGAACCUGCGGAAGGAUCAUUACCGAGUGCGGGCCCCUCGGGGCCCAACCUCCCACCCGUGUUGCCCGAACCUAUGUUGCCUCGGCGGGCCCCGCGCCCGCCGACGGCCCCCCUGAACGCUGUCUGAAGUUGCAGUCUGAGACCUAUAACGAAAUUAGUUAAAACUUUCAACAACGGAUCUCUUGGUUCCGGCAUCGAUGAAGAACGCAGCGAAAUGCGAUAACUAAUGUGAAUUGCAGAAUUCAGUGAAUCAUCGAGUCUUUGAACGCACAUUGCGCCCUCUGGUAUUCCGGAGGGCAUGCCUGUCCGAGCGUCAUUGCUGCCCUCAAGCCCGGCUUGUGUGUUGGGCCCCGUCCCCCCCGCCGGGGGGACGGGCCCGAAAGGCAGCGGCGGCACCGCGUCCGGUCCUCGAGCGUAUGGGGCUUCGUCACCCGCUCUAGUAGGCCCGGCCGGCGCCAGCCGACCCCCAACCUUUAAUUAUCUCAGGUUGACCUCGAUCAGGUACGGUGA